GUUUGAACUCCGAGGAUGGGAAAGCUGUCUCAACUGAACUAUUGAAUGAGGUUUUACCCUCUGUUUUCUAUGUAAUGCAAAAUUGUGAAAUUGAUGAAACCUUCAGUAUUGUGCAGUUCCUCUCUGGGUAUGUUGGCACAUUGAAGAGUCUGGCUCCAUUGACCGAGACACAAUCACUUCAUGUAGGUCAGAUACUGGAUGUUAUUCGGUCCCAGAUCCGAUUUGACCCAGCGUAUCGCAAUAACCUCGAUAUGUUGGACAAAACAGGAAAGGAAGAGGAAGAUCGGAUGACUGAGUUUAGG
This 302-nucleotide unclassified non-coding RNA is filed under the name Hevea brasiliensis (rubber tree). Lineage: Eukaryota; Viridiplantae; Streptophyta; Magnoliopsida; Malpighiales; Euphorbiaceae. The record is from RNAcentral.